RNAcentral lists this ribosomal RNA (444 nucleotides) under uncultured bacterium. Its description in RNAcentral is "SSU rRNA". It matches the Rfam family "Bacterial small subunit ribosomal RNA", at positions 26 to 518 of the family's 1533-position model. The record is from RNAcentral.
AGAGCGAACGCUGGCGGCAGGCCUAACACAUGCAAGUCGAGCGCCCCGCAAGGGGAGCGGCAGACGGGAGAGUAACACGUGGGAACGUACCCUUCAGUUCGGAACAACCCAGGGAAACUUGGGCUAAUACCGGAUACGUCCGUAAGGAGAAAGAUUUAUCGCUGAAGGAUCGGCCCGCGUCUGAUUAGCUUGUUGGUGAGGUAACGGCUCACCAAGGCUACGAUCAGUAGCUGGUCUGAGAGGAUGAUCAGCCUCACUGGGACUGAGACACGGCCCAGACUCCUACGGGAGGCAGCAGUGGGGAAUAUUGGACAAUGGGCGCAAGCCUGAUCCAGCCAUGCCGCGUGGAUGAUGAAGGCCCUAGGGUUGUAAAGUCCUUUCGGCGGGGAAGAUAAUGACGGUACCCGCAGAAGAAGCCCCGGCUAACUUCGUGCCAGCAGCCGC